RNAcentral lists this ribosomal RNA (460 nucleotides) under uncultured Campylobacterota bacterium. RNAcentral's name for it is "bacterial SSU rRNA". It matches the Rfam family "Bacterial small subunit ribosomal RNA", at positions 8 to 481 of the family's 1533-position model. The record is from RNAcentral. Lineage: Bacteria; Pseudomonadati; Campylobacterota.
AGAGUUUGAUCAUGGCUCAGAGUGAACGCUGGCGGCGUGCUUAACACAUGCAAGUCGAACGAGAACGGCUCUAGCUUGCUAGAGUGUCAGCUAAGUGGCGGACGGGUGAGUAAUGUAUAGUUAAUUUGCCCCUUGGAGAGGGAUAGCCACUGGAAACGGUGAUUAAUACCUCAUACUCCUUCUAUGUUAAUCAUAGUUGGGAAACGUUUUUUCGCCAAGGGAUAAGAUUAUAUGGUAUCAGGUAGUUGGUGGGGUAAGAGCCUACCAAGCCAAUGACGCCUAGCUGGUCUGAGAGGAUGAUCAGCCACACUGGAACUGAGACACGGUCCAGACUCCUACGGGAGGCAGCAGUGGGGAAUAUUGCACAAUGGAGGAAACUCUGAUGCAGCAACGCCGCGUGGAGGAUGACGCAUUUCGGUGUGUAAACUCCUUUUAUAUGGGAAGAUAANGACGGUACCAU